This 426-nucleotide ribosomal RNA is filed under the name uncultured bacterium. RNAcentral's name for it is "bacterial SSU rRNA". It matches the Rfam family "Bacterial small subunit ribosomal RNA", at positions 354 to 796 of the family's 1533-position model. The record is from RNAcentral.
GUGAGGAAUUUUCCGCAAUGGGCGAAAGCCUGACGGAGCAAUGCCGCGUGAAGGAUGAAGGCCUAUGGGUUGUAAACUUCUUUUCUCAGAAAAGAAUUAUGACGGUAUCUGAGGAAUAAGCAUCGGCUAACUCUGUGCCAGCAGCCGCGGUAAGACAGAGGAUGCAAGCGUUAUCCGGAAUGAUUGGGCGUAAAGCGUCUGUAGGUUGUUUAAAAAGUAUUCUGUCAAAGAUUAGGGCUUAACCCUAGAUAGGCAGAAUAAACUUUUAAGCUAGAGUUUGGUAGAGGCAGAGGGAAUUCCCGGUGGAGCUGUGAAAUGCGUAGAUAUCGGGAGGAACACCAAUGGCGAAGGCACUCUGCUGGGCCAAUACUAACACUGAGAGACGAAAGCGAGGGGAGCAAAUGGGAUUAGAAACCCGUGUAGUCC